Molecule: ribosomal RNA, 464 nt
Filed under: uncultured bacterium
Lineage: Bacteria
Description: partial 16S ribosomal RNA
Rfam family: Bacterial small subunit ribosomal RNA
Source: RNAcentral
GACGAACGCUGGCGGCGUGCUUAACACAUGCAAGUCGAACGGAAAGGCCCCUUUCGGGGUACUCGAGUGGCGAACGGGUGGGUAACACGUGUGUAACCUGCCCUUCACUUCGGGAUAACUUCAGUAAACUGGUGCUAAUACCGGUUAGGCAUCCUUGCUUCAUUGUGUGGGUUGGAAAGCUUCGGCGGGUUUGGAUGGACUCGCGGCUUAUCAGCUUGUUGGAGGGGCAGUGGCUUACGAAGGCGUUGGCGGGUAGCCGGCCUGAGAGGGCGACCGGCAACAUUGGGACUGCGAUACGGCGCAGACGCCUGCGGGAGGCAGCAGUGGGGGAUAUUGCGAAAUGGGCGGACGCCGGGUGCAGCAGCGCCGCGUGCGGGAUGACGGCCUUCGGGUUGUAAACCGCGUUCAGCAGGGUCGAGGCUGUUGUGACGGUACCUGGAGAAGAAGCGCCGGCUAACUACGUG